Molecule: microRNA precursor, 60 nt
Filed under: Salmo salar (Atlantic salmon)
Lineage: Eukaryota; Metazoa; Chordata; Actinopteri; Salmoniformes; Salmonidae
Description: microRNA ssa-mir-205b precursor (ssa-mir-205b-3)
Gene: ssa-mir-205b-3
Rfam family: mir-205 microRNA precursor family
Source: miRBase by way of RNAcentral
UCCUUCAUUCCACCGGAGUCUGUGCCUUUAUCCAAACAGAUUUCAGUGAAGUGAAGUGUA